CAAUAGCGUAUAUUUAAGUUGUUGCAGUUAAAAAGCUCGUAGUUGGAUUUCGGGUGGGACGCAGCGGUCCCGCAUUGCGUUUGUACUGCUGCAGCCCUCCUUCUUGCCGGGGGCGGCCUCUCGGACUUCACUGUCUGGGGGUCAGAAUCGGCGAUGUUACUUUGAGUAAAUUAGAGUGUUCAAAGCAAGCUUACGCUCUGAAUAUAAUAGCAUGGGAUAACACGACAGGACUCUGGCCUAUCGUGUUGGUCUAUAGGACCAGAGUAAUGAUUAAGAGGGACAGUCGGGGGCAUUCGUAUUCCGUUGUCAGAGGUGAAAUUCUUGGAUUUACGGAAGACGAACAUCUGCGAAAGCAUUUGCCAAGGAUGUUUNCAUUGA
Molecule: ribosomal RNA, 378 nt
Filed under: uncultured eukaryote
Lineage: Eukaryota
Description: partial 18S ribosomal RNA
Rfam family: Eukaryotic small subunit ribosomal RNA
Source: RNAcentral